Molecule: ribosomal RNA, 627 nt
Filed under: uncultured Gammaproteobacteria bacterium
Lineage: Bacteria; Pseudomonadati; Pseudomonadota; Gammaproteobacteria
Description: bacterial SSU rRNA
Rfam family: Bacterial small subunit ribosomal RNA
Source: RNAcentral
AGUCUGUGACCUUGAGUCGUGGGUUCCAAAGCUAACGCAUUAAAUAGACCGCCUGGGGAGUACGGCCGCAAGGUUAAAACUCAAAUGAAUUGACGGGGGCCCGCACAAGCGGUGGAGCAUGUGGUUUAAUUCGAUGCAACGCGAAGAACCUUACCUACUCUUGACAUCCAGCGAACUUGGUAGAGAUACCUUGGUGCCUUCGGGAACGCUGAGACAGGUGCUGCAUGGCUGUCGUCAGCUCGUGUUGUGAAAUGUUGGGUUAAGUCCCGCAACGAGCGCAACCCUUAUCCUAUGUUGCCAGCACUUCGGGUGGGAACUCAUGGGAGACUGCCGGUGAUAAACCGGAGGAAGGUGGGGACGACGUCAAGUCAUCAUGGCCCUUACGAGUAGGGCUACACACGUGCUACAAUGGUCGGUACAAAGGGUUGCCAACUCGCGAGAGUGCGCCAAUCUCAUAAAGCCGGUCGUAGUCCGGAUCGGAGUCUGCAACUCGACUCCGUGAAGUCGGAAUCGCUAGUAAUCGUGGAUCAGAAUGCCACGGUGAAUACGUUCCCGGGCCUUGUACACACCGCCCGUCACACCAUGGGAGUGGGUUGCUCCAGAAGUAGAUAGCUUAACCUCGGGAGG